RNAcentral lists this small nuclear RNA (20 nucleotides) under Arabidopsis thaliana (thale cress). Its description in RNAcentral is "snRNA_10053". The record is from RNAcentral. Lineage: Eukaryota; Viridiplantae; Streptophyta; Magnoliopsida; Brassicales; Brassicaceae.
CAGACCUUGAUGCUGCGACU